GGCGGGUGCCUGUAAUCCCAGCUACUUGGGAGGCUAAUACAAGAGAAUCUCUUGAACCCAGGAGGCAGAGGUUGCAGUGAGCUGAGAUCGUGCAACCGCACUCCAGCCUGGGUGACAGAGCCAGACUCCAUCUCAAAAAAAGGAAAAAGAAAUACCCAGAAUGUUACAUGUGCACUCAAGCACUGAAUUGAAUGAAGUACUGGUUUUGGUGGUAACUACAGCUUUCCAUUGCUUAAAACCCUUUCAGGCUGGACGUGGUGGCUCAUGCCCAUAAUCCCAAUGCUUUGGGAGGCUGAGGUGAGAGGAUCAUCUGAUCCAGGAGUUCAAGACCAGCUGGGGCAACGUAGCAAGACCCCAUCUCCACAAACUUACAAAAAAUUAGCUAAGUAUGGUGGUGCAUGCCUGUAGUCCCAGUUACUCCAGAGGCUAAGGCAAGAGGGUUGCUUGAGCCUGGGAGGUUGAGGUUGUAGUGAGCUAUGAUCAUGCCACUGAACUCCAGCCUGUGUGACAGAGCGAGGCCCUGUCUCAAUCAAUCAAUCAAUCAAUCAAUCAAUCAAUCCUUUCAAAAUAUCUUAUUGCUGUUUAGUUUCCAUUUUCCAGGUUUUUAAUGAGGCUAAGGAGCUUUUCAAAGGUUCACUCUUCCUGCCUAGCCAUUUGGGCUGUGUAGUUCAAGAGGAUCUGUAGCAUCUUUUUACAAAGAAGAAGGUUAAGGCGUUAGGGGAGGAGCAGGGAGAACAGGAGGAAGGAGCUCCCAGGCCCUGUUUUCAGCCCUUCCUUCCCCUCCUCUUUUCUUUUUUGAGGCCUGCUCCAUUCUCUUAGGGCCUGACCCUGACCUGCCAACCCCAGAUAAGGUGUUGUGACUAGGCCCUCCUUCCCCCAGGGUUCCCCCUGGAGAGACCCAAGGCAAUGGAUGGAGGAGCAUUGGCCCCACCCCAUCUCCUCACCCCACUUAAGGGAACAGCAUCUGAGGACAGGUGGCAGCAGGUAGUGUGGCCCCACCUCACUUCACAUUGCAGGGAGCUCUGUCACUUUGCUCCUUUGUUGCAAAUGCCAUUGGAAAGGCCAGUGCUGUGCUGCCUAGUGAGGUCUUCAAGGUGUUGGCCGGAUGCUUGAAGAAAGUGGAAGCCAUGGAAGGUUGUAUUCAGGAGAGGGGCAUGGCCCCUUCUGAGCAUGUUUCCACUGGUGGGAGGCCAUAGAGAGAAUGAUAAGGAAGGAGAAUGAGGCCACGUGGAUGACAGCUAACCCCUGCUGAGAGCCCAUUCUGAGCCGUGCACUGUAUGCCAUUUACUGGCAAAAGAGCAUGAGUAGGUGGUCAAGGUCGCCCAGCUGACAAGUGACAAAGUCAGAGCCAUCACAUUUCACCUGAGAUUCCUCCCCAGUUGUUUCAGGCAUGUUCGAUUUGUUUCCUAGCAAUAACUUUGCAAGGAUGGUCCUACUGUCCCCAUUCACAGAUGGGAAAACUGAGGGCAAAUGGUAGAGCCAAGUAAUGAAUGUGUUCUGCUUGGUCUUUACUUCUCAUGGAUACUCAAGGAAGGCAGCAGGUCUGGGCAAAGAAGGAAGGUGUUUCUUCACCAGAAGCAAAAUUUGUGUUGGAAAAGGGAUCUUAGAAAAGCCCCAGCCUCGACAUUCCUGAGCUCAGCCUCAGGGCUUUAUACAUACUUUGAUGAACACUUAAUAUGUUGCAAUUUUUCUGUUCUACCACAGGGUCAGCGCAUACAGUUGUAUAGGUUAUGCACUGCACAACUCAUGGAGUUCCAUGGCCUAAACCUGAGGGACCCAUCUUGCAGUCUCUGAGAUGGUGUGGAGUGGCGUCCACAGAUGAGGGCUUUGCUGACAAGUAGCGGGGUUUGAAUCUAGUCUUGGUUACUGGGUCGAGGAGCUUUUUCUAUUCUCCUUGAUCCCAUUUCCUCAUCUGUGAAGUGGAGAUGGUAUCAUCAUCUCUUCUCCCUCGGGGACUGUCAGGAUAGCAGGAGAGAACACACGGCAUAUGGCCCUUUACACAGGGCCUGGUACUAGUGGGGCCUUGGUAGAGUUCAGUUUCUCAUACUUCUGUCUCUCUGAGUGGACUUGAGGGCAGGCAGAGGCCCUGUCUAACUCAUUCCUGCAUCCCCAGCGCCCAGCGCUGUCCUUGCACGUGGGAGGGACUAGGCACCCAUUUGCUAAGGGACCAGAGAAAUCAUGCUGGAGGCAGAGAGGGGAUUUGGGGAACACUGGGGCAGCAGGCCCCAGUCCGGCAUCCCCACCCCACCUUUUCCCUCUUGGAGACAGCCUGGUCUGAGUUAUUUCCCUUCCCGACACUUCCCUGCCUCCAGGGCACAUUUUCUCCAGGUGAGUCCACCCAGGCAGAGGGCGAAGCCAGCAGGCACAGGCUGGAUUCCUGCAGAGGCGCGCAUUUCAUUUGGCCUGCACCAUGGCUUCACAUUUUUAAAAUUAGUUGCCGAUAUUUUACAAUUUGGAGAUUUCACCUAGAAACCUGGAUUUCCAGCUAUUCUUGAAAAAUCAAAAGAUCUAGCAGCCCUGGGCCUGCAGCUGGCAGCUGGUGUGCAGCAGCCACUGUUCCUUUGUGUUGGGUAUAUGCUGCUCAGUUUGCCACCAGAUCCACCUGGUCCAAGUCCCCCUCCCUUAUGACUCCUGCCCUUCCCCUGGUGAACCUGCAACCCCUGGCUCUAUGGAGCGCCCGGGCCAUCCCACUAACCUCACAGGUCUUGGUUUGGCAAAUCAUGACCGUGCCAGGGUCUUUGCCUGUGGAACGAGGAUCUGUGGGGGUGCCUUCCAAAUGUGCCAACCAAUGCUCACGACCAAGCCUUCAGUGUAACGAUCUGCCCACUUUCUCCUCCUCCCCCUGCCUCCGUGAGCCAGCGAAGCUGCUGCCCUGUUUGGGGACACAAACAUACACACGUUAUUAGAACCUCAGAUCAAAGGCGGCGUCCUACAGCCUGCCUCUCAAUGGUCCCUUUGUGCAGGCGGAAGCCUGCAAGAGAGUUAGAAUCCAGGGAGAACAGGAGGGGCUGGAGGGGGGCUCAAAACAAAGAUACUUGUCACCCUGAGAAGUCCGCAGAAAUGAUGUUAAAAGAGGCGCCAGGUGGAGGAUGUACCCCGGCUCGCUGCUGGAAGAUGCAAAUGGAGAAUUCUCAGUUCUGCAGAGGAGAAGAAAACACCCCUGUCCCUUGUGGUUUCAGAGGAAGGGGUGACAGUGGCUGCCCACCCCCUCCGCCAGCAGCAGCCUGCGUCUGCCUUCCUGGCCUCGCCAGGGGUGGAUGUGAUACUGGCAAGGGCUUCUUGGAACGAAAAGGGUUGGUUUGAACAAAGAAGUGCUUUGAGAGUUCAGAUGUGGAGCCAGGAACCCUGCCUGCCAUGGGAUGCAGGGAGAGGGGGUGGCGAGCAGCCCACAGCGACCCCAAGAAGCUGCUCCAACCCCUGGGACUAUGGAGCUCUACAGCUGUAGAGACCACCAGGAAGUGGACUGCAGGCCCCUGGCCUCUCCAUUCAGAUUCUGCAAAGAGAUCCUGAUGGGUUGGGCCAAUGGGUCAGGCAUCCAGUCAGCUCUGGCUAAGGGGUGAAGGAGUCAGGUGUUACCAACGUGGUGGCAGGGGCCACCUUGAAGCUGUGUUCUGUGCCAUGGAAGAAGGAAGAGGAGGAGGAAGCUAAGCUGGAAGGGAAGGCAGUCUAGGCUCCUGGAGUCAGUAGUUGGAAUCUCAGAUGGGAAGAAACCUUAAAAGUCAUCUGGUCCAGUAUUUUCCAAAGCAUGUUCCAUGAACUUGUUUUCCAGAAAUGGUUUCCUGGUCUGGUGAGUGGGAGUUCGAUGAGAGUGGCAGUUGUCUAUUUUGUUCACCGAUGUAUCUUAGGUGACUAAAACAAUGGUUGUCACAUGGCUGGCCCUUCAUAUUUGUUUCCAGAUGGAAGACUCUCUUUCUAGUGGUGGAACAUUAGUUUUGCACUGUGUUGGGACAACCUGAUGUAGUGAAAACAAGCCUGGGCAAUGAAAUCAACAGAUUGGAGUUCAGUUCCUAAUUGGGUCAUGGAUGAACUUUGUGACCUUGGGCAAGUGAGUUCACCUCUCUGAGUUGAAUAGGUUCCCUCCUUUCUAGAACAAGUAUGAGUCUGCAUCAGAGAGUGGUUGCGAGGGCUACACAUGAUGGAGGAUGAGGACUGGCACAUCAGAAGUACUGAAUGAAGAAUUGUAACAUAAAAAUGACAACAGUAAUAUAUUUUUGUGGUUUCAGCACUCUUCAAAUGAAACCACCUGGCCAACAGGAUUUUAGUGUACCUGCUUAUAACAUUAGCCUUCGUUUCCACCAAAAAGGGUGUUAAAAAAGGAAGCUUGGAACAUGAAAGUAAGACACUUGGAUGAAGAGAUUUAUGACUCUGGGGGGCUGUGAAUUCCUAAUGUCCUUUUGAGACAUGUAGAUCUUCCAGAGCGAUGCUGCCCAAUGCAGUAGCCACUAGCCAAGUGCAAAUGGUCACUUGCAAUAUGGCUAGUCUUUGAGAUGUGUUUUAAGUGUAAAAUACACACUGAAUUUUAAAGACUUAGCGCAAUACAAAGAAUGUAAAAUAUCUCAUUAUAUCUUGAAAUUAUACUAUUUUGGAUAUAUGGUGUUCCCUUGGUGUCUUUGGGGACUGGUUCCAGGAUCCUAGAGGAUACCCAAAUCCCCAGAUGUCAAGUCCGCUAUAUAAAAUGUCCUGUAGUAUUUGCAUAUAACCUACACACAUCCUUCUGAAUACUUUAAAUCAUCUCUAGAUUCCUUGUAAUUCCUAAUACAAUGUAAAUGUUAUGUAAAUAGUUGUUAUACUAUAUUAAAAAGUUUUUUAUUCUUU
RNAcentral lists this long non-coding RNA (4815 nucleotides) under Homo sapiens (human). RNAcentral describes it as "long non-coding RNA NONHSAT173007.1". Lineage: Eukaryota; Metazoa; Chordata; Mammalia; Primates; Hominidae. The record is from RNAcentral.